This is a long non-coding RNA of Gallus gallus (chicken), 1173 nucleotides long. The record is from Ensembl. Lineage: Eukaryota; Metazoa; Chordata; Aves; Galliformes; Phasianidae.
GGGCGCUCGGUCGGGCCGCGGGCGCUGCGUUGCGUUGCGUUGCGUUGCGGAGGUCGGACGCCGAGCGAAGCGAGCCGCCGGGCGGCUGCGGGCAAACGUGGCCGAAUACGUGCAACGUAAACACGGACGGUUCCCUUUGUGAUGUUAAAGCGCUCCCUUUCUGCACCUCAGCUCCCCGCUCGGAGCGUCGCGCGGUGGUUACACCGAGGCGGGGGGCGGUCCCGUUUCGGACGCGGGGUUCUCAGUCGGCGGGUGGAAACGUGAAUUUCCGAGCUCGGCUCCCGGCUGCGCUCGGGCGGAGCGGGAGAGGAAAUCCCGGCGCCCGCAGGAUGGGGCCCGCGGUUCCGAGGCGCUCCCCACGUGCGUCCGCUUUAGGCCUCGCGGCACCGCCAGGGCGAACGGCUCCGUUGGGCGCACGCUGCGCUGCCGGCGCGCCGCUCCGACGCUUCGGCGUAGCGAUGAGCGCCGCUGCGACGACGGACGGAGCGCCGAGCCCGGCGGACGGCAUUCCGCGGAUUUGCGUUUUGCCAGGAAGCGGCGAGGCGUGACGGCGGCAAGGUGGGCUCCGGGGCGGCCGUCCUCCGUCCCGUGGCACCGCUGUCACAUAGAGACACGACGCAGAAGAAAAGACAUAAAAUGGAGGAGAAGAAAAACCAUAAAAUGGAGGAGAGGACAAAGCUCAGAGCUGCGGGUUUACGAAGGUGCGGCUUCAGAUUUGAAUAUCCUGGGGCUCUUCCGUUCUUGAUCCGGGCUUCAGCUCUGAGCCGGAGGUUGGUGUCGGUGUCCGAAGGACCGGCAGGGAGCACACAGCUGCACAGCGGGAAUUCCAACUUUAAUGACAUCGGAGUAAGUCCCUGCCUUCACAACAGGCCUACAAGACAUGUUCAUGGAUACUCCGAAGAGUUAGAAAUCAAAAGACAGAUUCCUUAAAAGCAAAUGGAAGUCACAGAUGUACAAACAGAGGAAGGAUUUGGGCCAUUUUUGUUACAGUCUGAAGAAAAGUCAAAUAUAAUCUACCAGCACCAAGAUGCUGUGCAGGUUCUCUGUGAUAAAGCAAAGAAGAAUACAAGGAGGGACCGGUGCAGGCAAUUAACAUCAACUGUUAGGACACUGAUUGCAGAACCCUAUCUUCCAGCACAAGUCCUCCAGCUCUCCUGCCAGCUGCAAAGGAAC